GCUCAGUGCAUUUUACUGAGGCCAUGAAGACCUCCUGUAACUAGUGAGUUGGUUGAGUGGAAGCUGGCUGUUAUGGUUUGGGUCUGGCAUGUUUCCCAAAGGCUCACAUGUGGAAGGCUUGGUCCCCAGUCUCUGGCAAGGUUGGAAGGUGGUGAAACCUUCAGGAGAUAGAACAUAGUGAUGGCCUUAAAGAUGAUAUUAAGAUCCCAGGGCCAGGGAUGUAGCCUAGUGGCACAGAGCCUGCCUGGCAAGUGUAAGGUCCUGAGUUCGAUUCCUGGUACCAAAAACCAAACCAAAACAAAAAAAGAUCCCAACCCCGUCCUGUUACUCCUUGCUUCCUGGCUUCCAUGAGGUAAACUGUUUCCUCUGCUAGGUCCCCUCUGCCCUUCUACUGGCUCAAAAGCUAUAGGGGCCAAGUGACCAUGGACUGAAUACUUUGAAACCAUAAACCAAUAUAAACCUUUCCUCCCUUUAUAUUGUAUAUUGAGUUAACUCAGAUCUUUUGUUGCAGUGAGAGAAAUUUCAUCAACAUAUUGAUUCAAUCAUUUGGCAGCAAUAUUCCUCCUCUGAAGCAGAUCAAGUUUCAUGCCACCAGAGUGAGAAUGAAGGCUCUUCUCUUCCUUUCUGAGUCUGAGUCCCAGUGUAAUGCUUUCUUCAAGCCCUCUGUGGGUGGGAUGCUUUGUCAUUCAUUCCCUUCCAGAUGGCUGCUAUCACUUUCUCCUGCCUUGACUUGAUUUCCUAUGGGCAGAGACCAAAUUACAGACUGUAAGUCUCAUCAAAUUAAAGAGGACCAACUGCCCAGUAGCUCUGACAAGACCACCAGACAGAGAAGUCUUUGGUGUGUUCCCUCAGAUACUCUUUUUCAAAUUUAUCCCCAAGGAGAAGCGAAACUUAAUUUGUCAAAGGUAAUUUACAGCUUGUGUUUUCAGAGGAAGAAGUUCCCCUGAAGACAUGUCUUUAUGAAAGAAUCUGGAUGGAGAGCGUGGCUGUUGACCUGAGAUGCAGCUGCUCAAGUGGGAUAAAUCACAGUGCUGUCGGUGCAGCCAUGCAUUGUGCUGGGCUGGGCACAGCGUGUCCAUGCAGAGGUGGACUACAUUUCUGCCCCAGGUCAGAUGCACAUCACAAGUUGCUCUGAUGCAACAGAGAGGACUUUGUUACAGUCUGUGCCCCCUGUGUGGCUUUUGAAUGAUUCUUCAGAGAGCUUCCAAUGACUGACAAGGGGAGAUGGGCCAGGUACAAGGAACUGACAAUGCUGCCUCCUAAGCAACGCACAAUAUGAGGAACACCUAAUACACUGGCCUAAGCACACUGGCCCAAAAGUAAAAGCUGGAAAUAGUGAGCUGAAAGAAGAGUUGACCCACUAGUGACCUUAUUGUGCCAAUAAACAUAGAGUUGAUUGUGA
This is a long non-coding RNA of Chinchilla lanigera (long-tailed chinchilla), 1402 nucleotides long. RefSeq lists it as uncharacterized. The record is from RefSeq and is a predicted model, not a curated record. NCBI's taxonomy places the organism in Eukaryota, Metazoa, Chordata, Mammalia, Rodentia, Chinchillidae. The transcript is spliced from 2 exons.